Molecule: long non-coding RNA, 1812 nt
Organism: Oncorhynchus tshawytscha (Chinook salmon)
Lineage: Eukaryota; Metazoa; Chordata; Actinopteri; Salmoniformes; Salmonidae
Source: Ensembl
GUCCUUGCUUCCCUGAUACACACUCUCUCUUUCCUGGCAGAUCUAUAAUUAGCUGAUAGAUCAGUCUGCAGAGGGUUGAGGCCUCCUAUGUGACCUAAUAGGGCUGCAUCUCAAUAGUCUACAGUAGAGCUUGGACGACAAACCCCAAAUUACCAACACUGACAUUUCUAACUGAUACCCAAGCAAUUUUCCCCCUAGACUGUUUUCAGAUAAAUGGACAGAGAGGAGAGAUGGAGAGGAAAGAGAGGUGGAGAGGAAAGAGAGAUGGAGGUGAAAAAGAGAUGUAGAGGAAAGAGAGGUGUAGAGGAAAGAGAGGUGUAGAGGAAAGAGAGGUGUAGAGAGGAAAGAGGUGGAGGAAAGAGAGGUGUAGAGGAAAGAGAGGUGUAGAGGAAAGAGGUGGACAGGAAAGAGAGGAGGACAGGAAAGAGAGGAGGACAGGAAAGAGAGGUGUGGAGAGGAAAGAGAGGUGGAGGUGAAAGAGAGAUGGAGAGGAAAGAGAGAUGGAGAGGAAAGAGAGGUGGAGAGGAAAGAGAGAUGGAGAGGAAAGAGAGGUGGAGAGGAAAGAGAGGUGGAGAGGAAAGAGAGAUGGAGGUGAAAGAGAGAUGGAGAGGAAAGAGAGAUGGAGAGGAAAGAGGCGGAGAGGAAAGAGGCGGAGAGGAAAGAGAGGUGUAGAGAGGAAAGAGAGGUGGAGAGGAAAGAGAGGUGUAGAGAGGAAAGAGAGAUGGAGGUGAAAGAGAGAUGGAGAGGAAAGAGAGAUGGAGAGGAAAGAGGCGGAGAGGAAAGAGGCGGAGAGGAAAGAGAGGUGGAGAGGAAAGAGAGAUGGAGAGGAAAGAGAGAUGGAGGUGAAAGAGAGGUGGAGAGGAAAGAGAUGGAGGUGAAAGACAGAUGGACAGGAAAGACAGGUGGAGGUGAAAGAGAGAUGGAGGUGAAAGAGAGAUGGAGGUGAAAGAGAGAUGGAGGUGAAAGACAGGUGGAGGUGAAAGAGAGAUGGAGGUGAAAGAGAGAUGGAGGUGAAAGAGAGAUGGAGGUGAAAGAGAGAUCAGGGUGAAAGAGAGAUGGAGGUGGAGGUGAAAGAGAGGUGGAGGUGAAAGAGAGGUGGAGGUGAAAGAGAGGUGGAGGUGAAAGAGCGUGGACAGGAAGGAGAGGUCGAGGUGAAAGAGGUCGAGUUGAAAGAGGUGGAGAGGAAGGAGAGGUAGAGAUGAAAGAGGUGGACAGGAAGGAGAGGUGGAGAUGAAGGAGAGGUAGACAGGAAGGAGAGGUAGACAAAGGAGAGGUAGACAGGAAGGAGAGGUAGACAAGAAGGAGAGGUGGACAGGAAGGAGAGGUGGACAGGAAGGAGAGGUGGACAGGAAGGAGCGGUAGACAGGAAAGAGGUAGACAGGAAGGAGAGGUGGAGAUAAAAGAGAGAUGGACAGGAAGGAGAGUUGGACAGGAAGGAGAGAUGGACAGGAAGGAUGUGGACAGGAAGGAGCGAUGGACAGGAAGGAAAAGUGGAGAUGAAGGAGAGGUGGAGGUGACAAGGAGAGGAAGCCUCUUUCACCGUAACCAUUAGAUAUUAGUGAUUAGGUCAGCCUGCUGCUGUGUCCUGAGCACCAUACUGCUCCCAGAGCACUGUUCAUCCAUUAUUCAGACUCCCUCAGGCACCACGGCAACCCACAAUCCAAUUAGACCAGCAGGUGUGUGUGUCUCAGAGUGACAGCACAGACUGCCUGUUACCAACUAUAACUGUACUCAGCUGCAGAACAUCUAACCCAGUUUCCACUACCAAGUCUCAGAUCAUGUAAAGCUUGCUUUACUCCAUAGCGUCAAAAC